This is a long non-coding RNA of Nilaparvata lugens (brown planthopper), 1638 nucleotides long. RefSeq lists it as uncharacterized. Lineage: Eukaryota; Metazoa; Arthropoda; Insecta; Hemiptera; Delphacidae. The transcript has 6 exons. The record is from RefSeq and is a predicted model, not a curated record.
GCACUUACUCAUCUAACUCCUUGAUCAGAAGUUUUAACUUUUACACUGUGAAUAUAAUCCAUUAUGUUAGAGCUAUAAUUGAACUGCUAUUACUAUAACACUUAUAUUGACUUAUCAAAUCGGUUUAAGGAAUACCAGAAAACUUGGCAAUUCCGGCCAGGAUAGCCGAGACGACUAAGUGCACCCUUCCGUCUGCUGUAGCUACCUCGUCGUGUGGGUUCGAAUCCCGCUGUAGGCAUCAUGGCUUCUCCCGAUUCGAAUUCUUCUUCAGAAGAACGCUAUUCGAAGACAUGAGAAGAUUGAAGACUAGUCGUCCACACAUGUCGUGCUCAAAAACAAGGCCGACAGCUUCUGUGUUAAAUCAUAGGAGCGUUCUGACCAUUUCCAUUUUCAACGACCUGUAGUUGACGUCGAUGUAACGCAACGAAAACCCCCCUCCCCUCACCUAGGGAUGCAAUCGGGUAAAUGCAUUUUGAGAGAAGCAGGAGCAUUUGAGCAUGCCUCCACAACAGAUCAAUACCUGAGCGCCGCGUGAUGUAUCCAUGGCAACAUAAACUACAAGAUCAGCUGAGUGAGUGUCCUACCUUCUAUAUCUAUACAGAGAGUUUCAAAAUGUUCUUCUUCGGGGUUACGAAAAUUCACUACAGGAAGGCUAUUCCACUUACUUAAAUGAUGCAGAGGAUCAAACAUUUUUUUAACAUCUAUAAAAGUUCAUUGGUGACACUUCAUACUUCAAUACAAAAUUCUAGCCCAAACACGCCCUAACAUGUCUCUUUCGAUAGAGGUGACCGCAUUGAUUAUGCAAUCCUUCAGUUCAGCGAUAUCGUUUGGCAUUGGUGGGGUGAAAAUCUUGUCUUUCACAUAGCCCGAUAGAAAGAAGUCACAUGUCGUGAGGUCUGGUGAUCUUGGUGGCCACAGAAAAAGUUAUUGGUCCUCCUCAGACGCGCGUCCUAUCCAUCCAGCGUCGAGGCAGUCUUGUCUUAAGGUACUGUCGAAUCUCGUUAUCAAAAUGGGCAGGACAACCGUCUUACUGGAAAAUGAAGUCAUUUUUAAUAGCUGAGGCAUAAGCGAUAAUUGCAACAUGUCCAGGUUUGUCAUGCCGUUUACUGUCGUUUCUGCAAAAAAUAACGGCCCAUACACUACCAUUUGGUGGUAGCCAUUUUCUAUUUUGUCCACACCUAGCGGGCAAACUGUCAACUAACUGCCCAGUACCUGUGGAAAAGUUUUUUGUAAUGCAUUUUCGCAGCCCCGAAGAAGAUACUCCCUGACAUACGGGUUCGGCUUGUUUUGCCUUUGCACAGAUUAUACAUCAUUCAACGAAACUGUUGCAUCCAAACUAUACGCGGAUACAAAGUAUCCAAACAUCUUGGUGAAGGAUUACAUAUAUUUAUCCUUUUGCUGAAGAUCAACCAUUUACCUCGAAAUGCGUCCAGAUGCGAAUUUACAAAACAUAUAUUUUAUGUGUUGGUUGAAAUUCCACUGAUCCAGCCAUCUUGAGGAUAUUGGUGACCCACUGACCUAUAAACAGCAACAAAGACACCGAGGCUGGUGUCCUCCUGCAGUUUGCGCAUCUUCUUCUCCCUGCGCUGUUCGUCGGUGAGCUUCCUGCUGGCAUUGGCGUCCUCGUGGGCCUUCUUG